AUUUUGGACAAUGGGGGCAACCCUGAUCCAGCCAUGCCGCGUGCGGGAAGAAGGCCUUCGGGUUGUAAACCGCUUUUAGCCGGGAAGAAAGGGCCAGACCGAAUAAGUCUGGUUCUUGACGGUACCGGCGGAAUAAGCACCGGCUAACUACGUGCCAGCAGCCGCGGUAAUACGUAGGGUGCGAGCGUUAAUCGGAAUUACUGGGCGUAAAGCGUGCGCAGGCGGUUCGCUGUGUCCUGUGUGAAAGCCCCGGGCUCAACCUGGGAAUGGCAUGGGAAACUGGCGGGCUGGAGUGUGGCAGAGGGGGGUGGAAUUCCGCGUGUAGCAGUGAAAUGCGUAGAGAUGCGGAGGAACACCGAUGGCGAAGGCAGCCCCCUGGGCCAACACUGACGCUCAGGCACGAAAGCGUGGGGAGCAAAC
RNAcentral lists this ribosomal RNA (420 nucleotides) under uncultured bacterium. RNAcentral's name for it is "bacterial SSU rRNA". It matches the Rfam family "Bacterial small subunit ribosomal RNA", at positions 361 to 773 of the family's 1533-position model. The record is from RNAcentral.